GUCUUGUCAACACCUGUCCUUCCAAACCCUCACUCCCACAGUGCUUUUUUCAAGUAUAUUUAAAGCUCCCUUUCACAUACAUGCAGAGAAGAUCAGCAAAAAGGCACUGGGAAAUGAGAAGAACAAAAGCACAUUGCUUGUGCUCAUUCAAAGAAGUAAGACAAACAUGAGAUUUCUCAUUGAGUAGAAAAUAAACUGUCUUCUGAGGAAAAGAAGAAGCUGCCUGUGCAGAGAAGGGACUGUGUGGAGUACCACUUUGCACUGCAACACUGAUGGAGCAAGCUAUGACAAUGGAGAAUACGCCUUCAGAGGGCAGUCAUCUUUUCAGAGGGUUUUUUCCCUCUUUAUUUUAAUUUUAAUUUAAAGGAAUUUAAUUUAAAUAGAAAAAUUCUCCUUUUGAA
Vidua macroura (Pin-tailed whydah) is the source of this 401-nucleotide long non-coding RNA. RefSeq lists it as uncharacterized. The record is from RefSeq and is a predicted model, not a curated record. NCBI's taxonomy places the organism in Eukaryota, Metazoa, Chordata, Aves, Passeriformes, Viduidae. The transcript is spliced from 2 exons.